This is a long non-coding RNA of Trifolium pratense (red clover), 692 nucleotides long. RefSeq lists it as uncharacterized. NCBI's taxonomy places the organism in Eukaryota, Viridiplantae, Streptophyta, Magnoliopsida, Fabales, Fabaceae. The transcript has 2 exons. The record is from RefSeq and is a predicted model, not a curated record.
UUGCAUCGGUGUUUGCUUACUGCUGUUGUUUAGAAUUGAAGUUUGAAAUGGUCUUGUGAUGACAGUUAGUAGUAGUUAGUUAAUAUAAUUCUAAGUAUUUAGUUUCAUGAGUUAAAAAAAUUCUAAACUAUUGCUAGUUAGUAUGCUUAAAUGUCUUAGAGUUGUCAAAUGAAUGCUCUUGCAACAAAGUGUUACAGGCUUAUUGGAAAUACAGAACAAACUAGUCUUAUUGAAGUUGUUCAUUGUGUAACAAGACUAUUCAUUUGGUCACUUAAAUAAUAGUUCAUAUUAAGCAUAUUAAGUGUACCAGAGAUUCAUAUAUUCAGAUGAGAUAUAUCAGAGUAUCACUAUCAGAGUAAAUUAUGCACUAUCUAAUAACAAUAUUUGUUGCAUGUCAAACAGUUAUCAGCGGAGCACCACUGCUAUCUCUGUUGUUUUUGAAAGGGAGGCAAUUCUCAUGUGAUGGAGCCUGCUGCUGCUUUUCUUUCUCAGCAAUGGCUAAGUGGUGUAUAAUUGUCGCUGGUAUCUUAACUGCUUAGUAAUAUUAAUGUUGUAUCCUUAGCUAUUGCUUAGUGAGUUCCAUUGUAUUGGUGCAUUUUUUUCUGAACUGGUAUCCUGUAUCAUUUAGAGCUUGCUGAACAUCUUGUACACAAGACUUUUUGCUUUUAAUGCCAAUUUGCCUUUUCCAAAAA